RNAcentral lists this ribosomal RNA (253 nucleotides) under uncultured bacterium. RNAcentral's name for it is "partial 16S ribosomal RNA". It matches the Rfam family "Bacterial small subunit ribosomal RNA", at positions 524 to 776 of the family's 1533-position model. The record is from RNAcentral.
UACGAAGGGGGCUAGCGUUGCUCGGAAUCACUGGGCGUAAAGGGUGCGUAGGCGGGUCUUUAAGUCAGGGGUGAAAUCCUGGAGCUCAACUCCAGAACUGCCUUUGAUACUGAAGAUCUUGAGUUCGGGGGAGGUGAGUGGAACUGCGAGUGUAGAGGUGAAAUUCGUAGAUAUUCGCAAGAACACCAGUGGCGAAGGCGGCUCACUGGCCCGAUACUGACGCUGAGGCACGAAAGCGUGGGGAGCAAACAGG